This 27-nucleotide non-coding RNA is filed under the name Homo sapiens (human). The record is from RNAcentral. Lineage: Eukaryota; Metazoa; Chordata; Mammalia; Primates; Hominidae.
UGCCAAGUCCACAGUUUGACUAUGCGA